RNAcentral lists this ribosomal RNA (275 nucleotides) under uncultured Pseudomonas sp. Its description in RNAcentral is "partial 16S ribosomal RNA". It matches the Rfam family "Bacterial small subunit ribosomal RNA", at positions 1109 to 1382 of the family's 1533-position model. Lineage: Bacteria; Pseudomonadati; Pseudomonadota; Gammaproteobacteria; Pseudomonadales; Pseudomonadaceae. The record is from RNAcentral.
CCUUAGUUACCAGCACGUUAUGGUGGGCACUCUAAGGAGACUGCCGGUGACAAACCGGAGGAAGGUGGGGAUGACGUCAAGUCAUCAUGGCCCUUACGGCCUGGGCUACACACGUGCUACAAUGGUCGGUACAAAGGGUUGCCAAGCCGCGAGGUGGAGCUAAUCCCAUAAAACCGAUCGUAGUCCGGAUCGCAGUCUGCAACUCGACUGCGUGAAGUCGGAAUCGCUAGUAAUCGUGAAAUCAGAAUGUCACGGUGAAUACGUUCCCGGGCCUU